GAUGAACGCUGGCGGCGUGCCUAAUACAUGCAAGUCGAGCGAACGGACGAGAAGCUUGCUUCUCUGAUGUUAGCGGCGGACGGGUGAGUAACACGUGGAUAACCUACCUAUAAGACUGGGAUAACUUCGGGAAACCGGAGCUAAUACCGGAUAAUAUUUUGAACCGCAUGGUUCAAAAGUGAAAGACGGUCUUGCUGUCACUUAUAGAUGGAUCCGCGCUGCAUUAGCUAGUUGGUAAGGUAACGGCCUACCAAGGCAACGAUGCAUAGCCGACCUGAGAGGAUGAUCGGCCACACUGGAACUGAGACACGGUCCAGACUCCUACGGGAGGCAGCAGUAGGGAAUCUUCCGCAAUGGGCGAAAGCCUGACGGAGCAACGCCGCGUGAGUGAUGAAGGUCUUCGGAUCGUAAAACUCUGUUAUUAGGGAAGAACAUAUGUGUAAGUAACUGUGCACAUCUUGACGGUACCUAAUCAGAAAGCCACGGCUAACUACGUG
This 497-nucleotide ribosomal RNA is filed under the name uncultured bacterium. Its description in RNAcentral is "partial 16S ribosomal RNA". It matches the Rfam family "Bacterial small subunit ribosomal RNA", at positions 28 to 507 of the family's 1533-position model. The record is from RNAcentral.